UACGUAGGGGGCUAGCGUUGUCCGGAUUUAUUGGGCGUAAAGAGCGUGUAGGCGGCCAGGUAGGUCUGCUGUGAAAACUCGAGGCUCAACCUCGAGACGUCGGUUGAAACCAUCUGGCUAGAGUCCGGAAGAGGAGAGUGGAAUUCCCGGUGUGGCGGUGAAAUGCGCAGAUAUCGGGAAGAACACCCGUGGCGAAGGCGGCUCUCUGGGACGGUACUGACGCUGAGACGCGAAAGCGUGGGGAGCGAACAGG
RNAcentral lists this ribosomal RNA (253 nucleotides) under uncultured bacterium. RNAcentral describes it as "partial 16S ribosomal RNA". It matches the Rfam family "Bacterial small subunit ribosomal RNA", at positions 524 to 776 of the family's 1533-position model. The record is from RNAcentral.